AAAAUGGCAAAUUCGUUGGACUUAUCGUCAAAUAAACCUUUAGAAUUUCAAACUGCAAAAUGAAGUGGUUGUUAGUGAGUGUUACCUUACUGGUAUUAAGCUUGGUAAUCGUAUCAGCAAACGCAUUGCCGGAUACUAUAAUUUAUCGUUCACCUCCAUGGGCUCCAUAUCCUCCGAUACGAAUUACGAAAGUAUAUUGAUGUCUACUGUUACUAGAAACCACAAUUACUUUAUUCCAAUCAACCAAAGUGGGAAUCAUCUGUAUUUUCUUGAGGUACAAUUGAAUUAAGUGUUUAGCAUAAAUAUGUCAUUGUCUAAGAAAUGGAUAAUAUAUCUUAAU
This is a long non-coding RNA of Bradysia coprophila, 340 nucleotides long. Lineage: Eukaryota; Metazoa; Arthropoda; Insecta; Diptera; Sciaridae. The record is from RefSeq and is a predicted model, not a curated record.